AUGUCCUCCCCGCCGCCGGAAGCCGUGGGGGACGCUGGUGCCCCUUCAUCCAGCGGUACUUUGCCACAGGACAUAAGUGAUGUGUCCAAAUCUACAGUUGGUCAGCUGCAAGCAGCAGAUCAGAAAGCAAGUGCCCAGUCAAGCCAGCAGGCAGGGCAACCACAUAUGAAUCCAUCAUAUCAGUUGUCUCAACCAAAAUUGGAAACUGGAGUUUCAGAAAAUGAAAACUUUAGCCAACAGGAGGAACACCAUUACCAGCCAGAACAAGAGCAGCCACGUUGUGAGAAUCAACUGCAGCAGGCAGAAACAAAUAGCUUCCAGUUGGCAGAAAAAGGAACAGACUAUGUUGGUCAACAGAGUUUGACAGGCUCCAUGGAAGAUGUCGCUCAGCCUUCAGGAGAUCAGCAGCAUGUAAAUCCAGUUGUUGGUCAGCAAGCACCGCAUGGUGCCCAGGAAACAAGGAAGAGGGGAUAUCAGCCAUCUAUACCAUUUAAUAUGUUGAUUCCAAUCCUACAGGCGCAUCUUGACAGAGAUAAAGACAUGCAGCUUCAAUCUGUAUGGGCAAAACUUAGGCGUAAUGAAGUCCAUAAAGACGAUUUCUUAAGAGUCAUAAGGAAUAUCGUUGGGGAUCAAAUGCUCAAGCAGGCGGCCCAUAAAGUUUUUGCACAGAUGCAAGCUCAGGCACAACGAAAUAAUAACCAAGGAAAUGCAAAUCAACAUUCUUCGUCAUCUCAAGCAUCUACAGCCGCGAGUGGAUCGGCAAAAUUGCCUGAUCAGCUAGUUCGCAUGCCCACCCCACCUAACCAGGGUCACAAUAGCCAGACAUCAUCUUCAGCUCAGAACUUUGUGCCACUUUCAGGCACACAAAUGCAAAACAGUAUGCAUUACUUUGCUCAUGAUAGUUCUAUCCAAAAGCCAGAUGUAAAGGGGGUGCAUGCUUUGCCGAAUCGACCACCCGGUAUGAGCCUGCCAAUUCCACUGCAGACAAGUAACAAACAGCUGCAACCCACGGAAAUCCAGCAAGCGUCACAGCAAUUAUAUGGACCUACUGGCACCCCUCAGUCGUACCCUCGGCCAACCAGUGGUUCGAUGCCUCUUAGACCACAGAGUCAAGCGCCUGAAACACGACCUCCCUUUCAUCCUCAUGGAAGGAUUCCUGCAAAAAUCGGAACUGUUCCUACUCAUCCGACAAUGCAACAGAAUGCAUCGGCACGCCAAAUGCAACAAAACAAGGAUAUAAAAAAUAAUGCUUAUAACCCAAGUGCUAAUACAAAACAAGGUUCUGAGCCUGCAGGCAAGGCCCGCCAGGUUGGCCCAGGAGGCCCUUCGGCGAAAUUGCAAGGAAAGCAGGCGGCCCCUAAAACAUCUACACCACCUGCUGCAAGGACUAAGAAAUUGGGUGGCCAGAAGAAAUCAUUGGAAACGGCUGGUUCAGCACCACCACCAACCAGCAAAAGACAAAAGACAGCUGGAGCCUUCCAGGAACAAAGCAUCGAUCAACUUAAUGAUGUCACAGCUGUUAGUGGUGUUAAUCUUAGGGAAGAAGAGGAGCAACUGCUCUCUGCCCCCAAGGAAGAGAGCCCAGCCACAGAAGCAGCACGGAGAAUCGUACAGGAGGAGGAAGAAAACCUCUUUCUGCAGAGGGGCCCUCUUCUGAAGAAAUUGGCAGAAAUCGUUCUUAAAUCUAACUUGAAGAACGCUGGCGCUGAUGUUGGACGUUGUUUAUCAAUGUGUGUGGAGGAGCGACUGCGAAGAUUCAUAAGUACUCUCAUAAGAGUUUCAAAGCAGAGAACCGAUGCAGAAAAGACUGGUCAUCGACUAGUUAUUACUUCAGAUGUCGGCCGUCAAAUUUUGCAGAUGAACCAGAAAGCUAAAGAAGAAUGGGACAAAAAGCAAGCAGAAACUGACAAGAACAAGAAACAGACUGAGGAUGGGGGCAGUGGUGGCGCAGAAUUGGAGAAAGAAAAAGAGGAAAGCCGUCCAAAGAAUGCGAAGCCCAACAAAGAAGAAGACGAUAAAAUGAGAACAACAGCUGCAAAUGUCGCUGCUCGGCAGGCAGUUGGAGGAAGUGAUAUGUUUUCAAAGUGGCAGCUGAUGGCCGAACAAGCUAAGCAGAAGCGGGCACCAGCUCCAAGACCAUCCCAUGUAUCUGGAAAAGGGUCUGCAGAACGCAGUGAGGCUUCAAAGAGGAGCCAUCUUGCGGCAUUCGGAACUGGAGGCACGGAAAGGCAAGGCAAGGGUUCAUUUGCGAAUCGCCACUCGCAUGGGCCUCAGCGAACUGUUUCCGUGAAGGAUGUAAUUUCCGUCCUGGAGAGGGAGCCUCAGAUGACGAAAUCGCGGCUGAUCUAUCGGCUGUAUGAGCGAUUGCCUGGAGAGUCCACAGAUUAG
Molecule: ribosomal RNA, 2388 nt
Filed under: Triticum aestivum (bread wheat)
Lineage: Eukaryota; Viridiplantae; Streptophyta; Magnoliopsida; Poales; Poaceae
Description: partial small subunit ribosomal RNA
Source: RNAcentral